RNAcentral lists this ribosomal RNA (253 nucleotides) under uncultured bacterium. RNAcentral describes it as "partial 16S ribosomal RNA". It matches the Rfam family "Bacterial small subunit ribosomal RNA", at positions 524 to 776 of the family's 1533-position model. The record is from RNAcentral.
UACGUAGGGGGCUAGCGUUGUCCGGAAUCAUUGGGCGUAAAGCGCGUGUAGGCGGCCCGGUAAGUCCGCUGUGAAAGUCGGGGGCUCAACCCUCGAAAGCCGGUGGAUACUGUCGGGCUAGAGUGCGGAAGAGGCGAGUGGAAUUCCUGGCGUAGCGGUGAAAUGCGCAGAUAUCAGGAGGAACACCGAUUGCGAAGGCAGCUCGCUGGGACGUAACUGACGCUGAGACGCGAAAGCGUGGGGAGCAAACAGG